UGGGAAUCAAAUUCAACACUUUGAAAAUUCAAGGACUUGACUUGAACUAAAGAAAGGCAUUGGUUGCAUAAUUAAUUGGGUUCAAGAAUUAAAUUGUAUGAUUGUAAAAAAUUGAGGACUUAAAGAAAAUUGUGGUAUAAGUGGACCUCUUGGGCUGAUUCCAAUGAUAGAGAAUACAUAUGGGAAAUAUAUAGAAAGGGGGACGGCUGCCAAGCUGCUGGGGAAAGAGUUGGAGAUUAACCUAGAAAAAAAAAUUGUCUUCUUUUGUGAGUCAACAAAAAAGGGCAGCUUGAGGAAACAUAGGGAAAAACAAUUGGGCAGCACUUUGGAGGAGCUGAAGGAGUUUCUUUUCUUCUACAUACAAAAAGAGACGCCAAAAAAAAGGGACGGCUGCUGAUCGAAUAAAGGGCCUGAAUUGAGAGAUAUUAUGGCAAGAAGAAACAGCGGCUAGGGGUCAACAUAUUAUACAUACAAGCUGCUGAAUUUGACCAGUAAAAAAAAGCAGAGCAGCUGGGAAAAAAGGCAAAGAAAAAGGGCUGCUUUGGCUGGUUUAUAUAUAUAGCAAUUUAGGCGGAAAAUUGAAAGGAAUUGGAGACUAAAAGGCAGCCAAUUAGGGGAGUAAUAUACAUUGAUACACAUGGAACCGAGAGGAAGAAAACCUAUAGAGAAGCUGGUCGAAAAUAAGAGAUUCAACAUUGGAUUCCUAGAAAGGCUGUCGGCUGAGUUUUCUUUGUGCAACUUUCUUCAAUAAUUCUGCAAGGAGCUUGAAGUUUAAUCAUGUCCCGUCGAUUUUCGGUGAUUUCCUUUCACUUUUAUGUGUAUAAUUCCAACAGUAUGCUAGGUUAAUUUUUCUCAUGUAUUGGAUGAAAGACAAAAUUGUUUAAUUAUUAGUUUUAAUUCGAGACCUAUGUUUUUAUGUUAAUUUUUGCAUUGUGAUUUCAUUAAUAUGCAUAAUUAGAUUUUUUUAAUGUUUGCGCACCAUUAGGACAAUAAGUUGCUUAUUCGUAAUGUUGAAAAACUCACGGUAUGUAGAACACUGUUGAUGGAAUAUACGGACAAUAAAUGUUAUGAAUAAUAUUUGUGGCGUAUGCGAUCUUAUAUGAUAAUCCUAAAUGUCAAUACAUGUUUGCCAUAUGAAUUCAGACUAGGAAUAUGAUCGUCUCGUGGUAAACAUAAGUUUAUUAUAUCUGGGGAAAGAAUAAUAAAUAAAAGUGAAAUUAUCGAUCAUCGCAAUUGCAUGAAUUAAGAUAAUUAUUACUGGUUGAGAAUUAGAACUAAGAAUUGAUCAAUGGCAUUAGAAAUCCAAU
RNAcentral lists this long non-coding RNA (1307 nucleotides) under Olea europaea subsp. europaea. The record is from RNAcentral. Lineage: Eukaryota; Viridiplantae; Streptophyta; Magnoliopsida; Lamiales; Oleaceae.